This 299-nucleotide long non-coding RNA is filed under the name Lathyrus oleraceus (garden pea). RNAcentral's name for it is "Pisum sativum (pea) long non-coding RNA (PSAT_LNC002819)". The record is from RNAcentral. Lineage: Eukaryota; Viridiplantae; Streptophyta; Magnoliopsida; Fabales; Fabaceae.
UUUUGGAAAAAUCCAAUGAUGCACCCUUGAAGUACAUGUCAAAUGGAGUUUGUGCAUAUAAAGAACUUGCAAUUUGGACCAAGCAUGUGGUAGUUAUGGCCUCCUGAUUACGGGUAUUUUCUGAAAUUCACUGAGCCAUAUUUUGCAAACCACACAUUGGAUUUUUGAGUUCUUGGACUUUUUGGAAAGGUGCGAACAAGAUCUUCAACUUUCAUGUUGGACAAAAUUCCAUUUGAAGCUUGUAUGAUGAAAUUAUCUUGAGGAGAAAAAGUUUCCAUUUUGGGCAGCUGAGAUUACAG